Molecule: long non-coding RNA, 313 nt
Organism: Humulus lupulus (European hop)
Lineage: Eukaryota; Viridiplantae; Streptophyta; Magnoliopsida; Rosales; Cannabaceae
Exons: 4
Source: RefSeq, a predicted model, not a curated record
GUUCCCUGAUCUCACUAGUCUCACCAAGUUAAAAGAACUAAGGAUCAGUAGUAACUACUUCACAGGAAGGAUGCCUGAGUUUGGCAAUUUGAAACAGCUUCAGAAGUUGAUGAUUCUGAGGUUUGCUAUCAGUUUUCCUCUAGAAUAAAGGUUCAGUCAGCAAUCCAGAGCAAUAGUAGCAGCAAGGCAUCUCUUGCUGAGGGUGUAUUCUUGGUUGGAUGAUGCUAUUGAAUAAGUUCUCAAUUUUAGGGGGAGUAUACUUCUCAAUUUGAGAGAUUUUAUGUGACCAUAUCUAAUAAUUGAAGUUUUGCAG